Molecule: ribosomal RNA, 509 nt
Filed under: Strioterebrum sp. NP-2009
Lineage: Eukaryota; Metazoa; Mollusca; Gastropoda; Neogastropoda; Terebridae
Description: partial 16S ribosomal RNA
Rfam family: Bacterial large subunit ribosomal RNA
Source: RNAcentral
UUGAUAUUAUUACUAAUAAGGAGUCGGACCUGCCCGGUGAAAUUUUUUAACGGCCGCGGUACUCUGACCGUGCAAAGGUAGCAUAAUCAUUUGCCUUAUAAUUGAAGGCUAGUAUGAAUGGUUUGACAAGAAUAUAGCUGUCUCUUUACAAUUUGGUAGAAUUUUAUUUUUAGGUGAAAAAGCCUAGAUUGAAUUAAAAGACAAGAAGACCCUAUCGAGCUUUAAAGGAGUUAAUGGAUGUGUAAUUUUUAUUUAUAAAAAAUAUAACUAUUAAAUAUUUUGGUUGGGGCGACUAAGGAACAUAAGAAGCUUCCUCUAUAAUAUAUAGAUGACAUACAAGUAUUGAUCCAUAGUUGAUGAUUAAAGGAAUUAGUUACCGUAGGGAUAACAGCAUUAUCCUUUUUGAGAGUUCUAAUCGAAAAAAGGGUUUGUGACCUCGAUGUUGGACCAGAAUGUCCUAAAGAUGCAGAAGUCUUUAAGGGUUGGUCUGUUCGACCAUUAAAAUUCUA